Molecule: long non-coding RNA, 844 nt
Filed under: Homo sapiens (human)
Lineage: Eukaryota; Metazoa; Chordata; Mammalia; Primates; Hominidae
Description: PCBP1 antisense RNA 1
Source: RNAcentral
GAACACAAAAUGGCGACACGUGGUUAGCAUUCGUCGCCAACGAGAAAUUGGGGUCGGCCCGAAAGCUCUAGAAUGCACCCCUCUUCCUCCCCGGGGCCUUCCACCUCCGCGAGUUUUAUGACUUAAAAAAGCCCACAGGCUGGUCUGAAGGUCGGAGGCCUAAUUUUAACGCGUUUUCCUCCCUUUAAUUUGAAACGGGAACGCGAAUGACUGUAAAAUAGGAAGACAAACAUAAAGAUGAAGUGCUUAAUUCAAGGUCACACAAUGUCGGGGAUGGACCUCCAGAUUUCCUUACUGGUGAGACGUGGUCUUGUAACACAGUGGUUAAGAAUGUGACUUUGGAGCCAGCCUGCUAGGGGCUGAAUUCUGACUCAGCCAUUUACUAACUGUGUGACCUUAGGUCACAGAAUUUUCCACACUCCUUGACAGAGGUGCUUAACCCUUAUCCAUCAGCAUUCUCAGACAGCACCUCCGGUUAGGGACAGUAUCUGACCGUCCGACAUCCCUGCAGCCCCCAUGUGUCACACAGACUCAGCCUCAGGUAGAUGGUUUCCGUAGAUGGUGGCUUUCUUUGGACCCUUGACAUCAACCAGUUACUAUUUGGGGACCAGAUGUGCAGAGGUAAUGAAUACCAGGGAAUCAGGAAACCACUGGAUCAGUUCUUUGAGCCACAGAACAACACUCAUCCCAGCAGCUGGGAAGCUAUCUGCAAAAGUCCAUCUGCAGAAAGGGCUUCCUGGUCUUGCGUGUGGCUGGGCCAUUUCUCUGGAUGCAGGUUUUUCAUUAUACAGUCUUCUCAAAGAACCACCUGCUCUCAACACCUUCUCGGUGACUCCAUUUCCCC